Molecule: small nucleolar RNA, 101 nt
Filed under: Echinops telfairi (small Madagascar hedgehog)
Lineage: Eukaryota; Metazoa; Chordata; Mammalia; Afrosoricida; Tenrecidae
Description: Small nucleolar RNA SNORA42/SNORA80 family (ENSETEG00000023936.1)
Source: RNAcentral
GCACUGAUGAUCCAGUGUCCCAUGCCAAAGCAAACUGUCACCCUAAACCAUUGCCUGGCUUUACCGGGUGAGCUUAAGGCGCCGAAGCGGGAUGCACAGUG